Molecule: ribosomal RNA, 491 nt
Filed under: uncultured bacterium
Lineage: Bacteria
Description: partial 16S ribosomal RNA
Rfam family: Bacterial small subunit ribosomal RNA
Source: RNAcentral
GAUGAACGCUGGCUACAGGCUUAACACAUGCAAGUCGAGGGGAAACGACGGGGAAGCUUGCUUCCCCGGGCGUCGACCGGCGCACGGGUGAGUAACGCGUAUCCAACCUGCCUCUGACUGAGGGAUAACCCGUCGAAAGUCGGCCUAAUACCUCAUGGCAUCGUCUGCGGGCAUCCAACGACGAUUAAAGAUUUCAUCGGUCAGGGAUGGGGAUGCGUCUGAUUAGCUAGUUGGCGGGGUAACGGCCCACCAAGGCGACGAUCAGUAGGGGUUCUGAGAGGAAGGUCCCCCACAUUGGAACUGAGACACGGUCCAAACUCCUACGGGAGGCAGCAGUGAGGAAUAUUGAUCAAUGGGCGAGAGCCUGAACCAGCCAAGUAGCGUGCAGGAUGACGGCCCUAUGGGUUGUAAACUGCUUUUAUGCGGGGAUAAAGUGAGGGACGUGUCCUUCAUUGCAGGUACCGCAUGAAUAAGGACCGGCUAAUUCCGUG